CGGGAGGCAGCAGUAGGGAAUUUUCGGCAAUGGGGGAAACCCUGACCGAGCAACGCCGCGUGAGCGAAGAAGGCCUUCGGGUCGUAAAGCUCUGUUGUAAAGGAAGAAGGCGAUCAGGAAAUGGUAUGCGAGUGACGGUACUUUACCAGAAAGCCACGGCUAACUCGUGCCAGCAGCCGCGGUAAUACGUAGGUGGCGAGCGUUAUCCGGAAUCAUUGGGCGUAAAGAGGGAGCAGGCGGCCGCAAAGGUCUGUGGUGAAAGACCGAAGCUAAACUUCGGUAAGCCAUGGAAACCGGGCGGCUAGAGUGCGGAAGAGGAUCGUGGAAUUCCAUGUGUAGCGGUGAAAUGCGUAGAUAUAUGGAGGAACACCAGUGGCGAAGCGACGGUCUGGGCCGCAACUGACGCUCAUUCUCGAAAGCGUGGGGAGCAAAUAGGAU
RNAcentral lists this ribosomal RNA (438 nucleotides) under uncultured bacterium. Its description in RNAcentral is "bacterial SSU rRNA". It matches the Rfam family "Bacterial small subunit ribosomal RNA", at positions 342 to 778 of the family's 1533-position model. The record is from RNAcentral.